GGCUCAGGACGAACGCUGGCGGCAUGCCUAAUACAUGCAAGUCGAGCGGAGUWWGAAUGGAAGCUUGCUUCCAUUCUUACUUAGCGGCGGACGGGUGAGUAACACGUAGGCAACCUGCCCUCAAGACUGGGAUAACUACCGGAAACGGUAGCUAAUACCGGAUAAUUUCUUUCCUCUCCUGAAGAGAGAAUGAAAGGCGGAGCAAUCUGCCACUUGGGGAUGGGCCUGCGGCGCAUUAGCUAGUUGGUGGGGUAACGGCUCACCAAGGCGACGAUGCGUAGCCGACCUGAGAGGGUGAACGGCCACACUGGGACUGAGACACGGCCCAGACUCCUACGGGAGGCAGCAGUAGGGAAUCUUCCGCAAUGGGCGAAAGCCUGACGGAGCAAUGCCGCGUGAGUGAUGAAGGUUUUCGGAUCGUAAAGCUCUGUUGCCAGGGAAGAACGUCCGGUAGAGUAACUGCUACCGGAGU
This 472-nucleotide ribosomal RNA is filed under the name Paenibacillus sp. R-45673. Its description in RNAcentral is "bacterial SSU rRNA". It matches the Rfam family "Bacterial small subunit ribosomal RNA", at positions 21 to 470 of the family's 1533-position model. Lineage: Bacteria; Bacillati; Bacillota; Bacilli; Caryophanales; Paenibacillaceae. The record is from RNAcentral.